This is a long non-coding RNA of Cyprinus carpio carpio, 1090 nucleotides long. The record is from Ensembl. NCBI's taxonomy places the organism in Eukaryota, Metazoa, Chordata, Actinopteri, Cypriniformes, Cyprinidae.
GGACGUUCCCGAGCAGGCCGCUGCCGUCCAGGAGGACGUGUCCAAGGUUCCCGAGGCUGUGCCCGAUGCCGAGGCGGUGUUCGAAGCGGUGCCUGAUGCGGUGGCCGAGGCGGUUCCCGAUGCAAUGUCCGAUGCCGAGGCGGUGCCCGAUGCCGAGGCGGUGCCCGAUGCCGAGGCGGUGCCCGAUGCCGAGGCGGUGCCUGAUGCGGUGGCCGAGGCGGUUCCCGAUGCCGAGGCGGUGCCCGAGGCGGUGCCCGAUGCCGAGGCGGUGCCCGAUGCGGUUCCCGAGGCGGUGCCCGAUGCCGAGGCGGUGACCGAUGCCGUUCCGGAGGUCGAGGCAGUGACCGAUGCCGUGCCAGAGACGGUGCCAGAGACGGUUCCCGAUGUAAUGCCCGAGACCGAGGCUGUUCCGGAGGUCGAGGCGGUGCCCGAUGUUGUUCCCGAUGCCGAGGCGGUGCCCGAUGUUGUUUCCGAUGCCGAGGCUGUUCCGGAGGUCGAGGCGGUGCCCGAUGUUGUUCCGCAGGUCGAGGCGGUGCCCGAGGCGGUGCCCGAUGCCGAGGCUGUGCCCGAUGCCGAGCCCGAGGCCGUUUCCGAGGCGGUGCCCGAUGCCGAGCCCGAGGCCGUUCCCGAGGCGGUGCCCUUGUCCAAUGCCGUUCCUGAGGCCAUUCCUGAGGCCGUUCCUGAGACCGUUCCCGAGGCGGUGCCCGAUGCCAAGGUCGUUCCCGAGGCGGUGUCCUUGUCCGAUGCCGUUCCUGAGGCCAUUCCCGAGGCGGUGCCCGAUGCUGUUCCGGAGGCCGAUGCGGGGCCCGAGAUGGUUCCGGAGGCGAUACCCGUGUCCAAGGCCGUUCCCGAGGCGGUGCCCUUGUCUGAGGCCGUUCCCGAUGCCGUUCCCAAUGCCGUGACCUGGCCAUCGCCACAGCCUGCUCCUUACUGGCUCCCCGAUUGGCAGGUUCCGUUCGGGCCACUCAAAUGGCGAAUUCCUCCCUGGCCGUCUGCACAACGAGAAUGGACUGAUCCACCGUGGCCACCUGAACUGCCUGGUCCCUCGUGGUCCCCUGAACUUUCGGGUCCACCGUGGCCACCUGAACUG